GAUGAACGCUGGCGGCGUGCCUAACACAUGCAAGUCGAACGGAAAGACCAUGAGCUUGUGCGGUUCUCGUUUGCGGCGGGCGUGAGUGUAACGUGUGUAUCCUCCACUUGUAUUUCUGGUAUAAUCACGAGAAUCCGGCUAUUAUCCGGUAGAAUAUACUGAACCGUGGGGGGCGUUGGAGAGUGUCGGCGUUUGGGGAUGGACUCGCGGCGUAUUAGCUAGUUGGUUGGGUAGGGGAUUACCAAGGCUACGAUGGGUAGACGGCCUGAGCGGGUGAUCGGCCACACUGGAACUGAGACACGGUCCAGACUCCUACGGGAGGCAGCAGUAGGGAAUCUUCCGCAAUGGGCGAAAGCCUGACGGAGCAACGCCGCGUGAGUGAUGAAGGUCUUCGGAUCGUAAAACUCUGUUAUUGGGGAAGAACAAAUGUGUACGUAACUAUGGACGUCUUGACGGUACCUAAUCAGAAAGCCACGGCUAACUACGUG
Molecule: ribosomal RNA, 488 nt
Filed under: uncultured bacterium
Lineage: Bacteria
Description: partial 16S ribosomal RNA
Rfam family: Bacterial small subunit ribosomal RNA
Source: RNAcentral